UGCGUAGGCGGCCUGGCAAGUUGGGUGUGAAAUCCCUCGGCUCAACCGAGGAAUUGCGCUCAAAACUGCCAAGCUAGAGGAAGAUAGAGGCGAGCGGAACUCAGGGUGGAGCGGUGAAAUGCGUUGAUAUCCUGGGGAACACCAGUAGCGAAAGCGGCUCGCUGGAUCUUUUCUGACGCUGAGGCACGAAAGCUAGGGGAGCGAACG
Molecule: ribosomal RNA, 207 nt
Filed under: uncultured bacterium
Lineage: Bacteria
Description: partial 16S ribosomal RNA
Rfam family: Bacterial small subunit ribosomal RNA
Source: RNAcentral